This 730-nucleotide ribosomal RNA is filed under the name uncultured soil bacterium. RNAcentral describes it as "bacterial SSU rRNA". It matches the Rfam family "Bacterial small subunit ribosomal RNA", at positions 8 to 733 of the family's 1533-position model. The record is from RNAcentral.
AGAGUUUGAUCCUGGCUCAGAUUGAACGCUGGCGGCAUGCCUUACACAUGCAAGUCGAACGGCAGCGCGGGAGCAAUCCUGGCGGCGAGUGGCGAACGGGUGAGUAAUACAUCGGAACGUGCCCAAUCGUGGGGGAUAACGCAGCGAAAGCUGUGCUAAUACCGCAUAAGAUCUACGGAUGAAAGCAGGGGAUCGCAAGACCUUGCGCGAAUGGAGCGGCCGAUGGCAGAUUAGGUAGUUGGUGAGGUAAAGGCUCACCAAGCCUUCGAUCUGUAGCUGGUCUGAGAGGACGACCAGCCACACUGGGACUGAGACACGGCCCAGACUCCUACGGGAGGCAGCAGUGGGGAAUUUUGGACAAUGGGCGAAAGCCUGAUCCAGCCAUGCCGCGUGCAGGAUGAAGGCCUUCGGGUUGUAAACUGCUUUUGUACGGAACGAAACGGCUCUUUCUAAUAAAGAGGGCUAAUGACGGUACCGUAAGAAUAAGCACCGGCUAACUACGUGCCAGCAGCCGCGGUAAUACGUAGGGUGCAAGCGUUAAUCGGAAUUACUGGGCGUAAAGCGUGCGCAGGCGGUAAUGUAAGACAGUUGUGAAAUCCCCGGGCUCAACCUGGGAACUGCAUCUGUGACUGCAUUGCUGGAGUACGGUAGAGGGGGAUGGAAUUCCGCGUGUAGCAGUGAAAUGCGUAGAUAUGCGGAGGAACACCGAUGGCGAAGGCAAUCCCCUGGA